ACUUUCAACUCUUUUAGCCACUCUUUCCCCCUACAGUUGGGUGGAAGUUAAGCAGGGUUGUGCCUGGUUAGUAUUUGGAUGGUAGACUGCCUGGGAAUACCAGGUUCUGUAAGCU
Ribosomal RNA from Danio rerio (zebrafish), 115 nucleotides. NCBI's taxonomy places the organism in Eukaryota, Metazoa, Chordata, Actinopteri, Cypriniformes, Danionidae. The record is from Ensembl.